GCUAUACAUGCAGUCGAACGCUUCUUUCCUCCCGAGUGCUUGCACUCAAUUGGAAAGAGGAGUGGCGGACGGGUGAGUAACACGUGGGUAACCUACCCAUCAGAGGGGGAUAACACUUGGAAACAGGUGCUAAUACCGCAUAACAGUUUAUGCCGCAUGGCAUAAGAGUGAAAGGCGCUUUCGGGUGUCGCUGAUGGAUGGACCCGCGGUGCAUUAGCUAGUUGGUGAGGUAACGGCUCACCAAGGCCACGAUGCAUAGCCGACCUGAGAGGGUGAUCGGCCACACUGGGACUGAGACACGGCCCAGACUCCUACGGGAGGCAGCAGUAGGGAAUCUUCGGCAAUGGACGAAAGUCUGACCGAGCAACGCCGCGUGAGUGAAGAAGGUUUUCGGAUCGUAAAACUCUGUUGUUAGAGAAGAACAAGGACGUUAGUAACUGAACGUCCCCUGACGGUAUCUAACCAGAAAGCCACGGCUAACUACGUGCCAGCAGCGGCCGGUAAUAAA
This 508-nucleotide ribosomal RNA is filed under the name Enterococcus faecalis. RNAcentral describes it as "bacterial SSU rRNA". It matches the Rfam family "Bacterial small subunit ribosomal RNA", at positions 48 to 527 of the family's 1533-position model. Lineage: Bacteria; Bacillati; Bacillota; Bacilli; Lactobacillales; Enterococcaceae. The record is from RNAcentral.